UAAGCAUAUCAAUAAGCGGAGGAAAAGAAACCAACAGGGAUUGCCUUAGUAACGGCGAGUGAAGCGGCAAUAGCUCAAAUUUGAAAGCUGGCCCCUUCGGGGUCCGCGUUGUAAUUUGUAGAGGAUGAUUCGGCGAGGGCUCCCGUCUAAGUCCCUUGGAACAGGGCGUCAUAGAGGGUGAGAAUCCCGUAUGUGAUGGGCUGCCUUAGCCAUGUGAAUCUCCUUCGACGAGUCGAGUUGUUUGGGAAUGCAGCUCUAAAUGGGAGGUAAAUUUCUUCUAAAGCUAAAUACCGGCCAGAGACCGAUAGCGCACAAGUAGAGUGAUCGAAAGAUGAAAAGCACUUUGGAAAGAGAGUUAAAAAGUACGUGAAAUUGUUGAAAGGGAAGCGCUUGCAGCCAGACUUGUCCGCAGUUGCUCAGCUUGUCUCCUGACAGGCGUACUCUUCUGCGGCCAGGCCAGCAUCAGUUCGGGCGGUCGGAUAAAGGCCCGGGGAAUGUAGCUCCUCUCGGGGAGUGUUAUAGCCCCGGGUGCAAUGCGGCCAGCCUGGACUGAGGAUCUCGCUUCGGCUAGGAUGCUGGCGUAAUGGCUGUAAGCGGCCCGUCUUGAAACACGGACCAAGGAGUCUAACAUCUAUGCGAGUGUUUGGGUGUCAAACCCAUGCGCGUAAUGAAAGUGAACGGAUGUGGGAACCCUCACGGGUGCACCAUCGACCGAUCCUGAUGUCUUCGGAUGGAUUUGAGUAAGAGCAUAGCUGUUGGGACCCGAAAGAUGGUGAACUAUGCCUGAAUAGGGUGAAGCCAGAGGAAACUCUGGUGGAGGCUCGCAGCGGUUCUGACGUGCAAAUCGAUCGUCAAAUUUGGGUAUAGGGGCGAAAGACUAAUCGAACCAUCUAGUAGCUGGUUCCUGCCGAAGUUU
This 916-nucleotide ribosomal RNA is filed under the name Neofusicoccum mangiferae. Its description in RNAcentral is "eukaryotic LSU rRNA". It matches the Rfam family "Eukaryotic large subunit ribosomal RNA", at positions 35 to 969 of the family's 3401-position model. Lineage: Eukaryota; Fungi; Ascomycota; Dothideomycetes; Botryosphaeriales; Botryosphaeriaceae. The record is from RNAcentral.